RNAcentral lists this transfer RNA (85 nucleotides) under Felis catus (domestic cat). It matches the Rfam family "tRNA". Rfam says of the family: Transfer RNA (tRNA) molecules are approximately 80 nucleotides in length. Their secondary structure includes four short double-helical elements and three loops (D, anti-codon, and T loops). Further hydrogen bonds mediate the characteristic L-shaped molecular structure. tRNAs have two regions of fundamental functional importance: the anti-codon, which is responsible for specific mRNA codon recognition, and the 3' end, to which the tRNAs corresponding amino acid is attached (by aminoacyl-tRNA synthetases). tRNAs cope with the degeneracy of the genetic code in two manners: having more than one tRNA (with a specific anti-codon) for a particular amino acid; and 'wobble' base-pairing, i.e. permitting non-standard base-pairing at the 3rd anti-codon position. The record is from Rfam by way of RNAcentral. Lineage: Eukaryota; Metazoa; Chordata; Mammalia; Carnivora; Felidae.
GCCUGGGUGGCUCAGUGGGUUAAGCAUCUGACUUUGGCUCAGGUAAUGAUCUCACAGUCUGUGGGUUCGAGCCCCAUGUCAGGCU